GGGUUGUGAGGUUAAGCGACUAAGCGUACACGGUGGAUGCCCUGGCAGUCAGAGGCGAUGAAGGGCGUGCUAAUCUGCGAUAAGCGCCGGUAAGGUGAUAUGAACCGUUAUAACCGGCGAUACCCGAAUGGGGAAACCCAGUGUGACUCGUCACACUAUCAUUAACUGAAUCCAUAGGUUAAUGAGGCGAACCGGGGGAACUGAAACAUCUAAGUACCCCGAGGAAAAGAAAUCAACCGAGAUUCCCCCAGUAGCGGCGAGCGAACGGGGAGGAGCCCAGAGCCUGAAUCAGCAUGUGUGUUAGUGGAAGCGUCUGGAAAGGCGCGCGAUACAGGGUGACAGCCCCGUACACAAAAGCGCAUGUGCUGUGAGCUCGAUGAGUAGGGCGGGACACGUGGUAUCCUGUCUGAAUAUGGGGGGACCAUCCUCCAAGGCUAAAUACUCCUGACUGACCGAUAGUGAACCAGUACCGUGAGGGAAAGGCGAAAAGAACCCCGGCGAGGGGAGUGAAAAAGAACCUGAAACCGUGUACGUACAAGCAGUGGGAGCCCCACCACCAAAGCAUUUGCUGUACC
Molecule: ribosomal RNA, 575 nt
Filed under: Salmonella enterica subsp. enterica serovar Enteritidis
Lineage: Bacteria; Pseudomonadati; Pseudomonadota; Gammaproteobacteria; Enterobacterales; Enterobacteriaceae
Description: partial 23S ribosomal RNA
Rfam family: Bacterial large subunit ribosomal RNA
Source: RNAcentral